Non-coding RNA from Salinicoccus halodurans, 74 nucleotides. The record is from Rfam. Lineage: Bacteria; Bacillati; Bacillota; Bacilli; Caryophanales; Staphylococcaceae.
UGUAGACAUCAACCGCACAAUUACGGGUUAAAGCGACAUGUGUCCACCUGUAAAUGGCGUGUCUUAUUAAAUCA